UACGGAGGGUGCAAGCGUUGUCCGGAUUUAUUGGGUUUAAAGGGUGCGUAGGCGGCCCUGUAAGUCAGUGGUGAAAGCCUCCAGCUCAACUGGAGAACUGCCAUUGAUACUGCAGGGCUUGAGUACAGACGAGGUUGGCGGAAUUGAUGGUGUAGCGGUGAAAUGCAUAGAUAUCGGGAGGAACACCAGUGGCGAAGGCGGCUGCCUGGGCCAGUUCUGACGCUGAGGCGCGAAAGCGUGGGG
This 243-nucleotide ribosomal RNA is filed under the name uncultured prokaryote. Its description in RNAcentral is "partial 16S ribosomal RNA". It matches the Rfam family "Bacterial small subunit ribosomal RNA", at positions 524 to 766 of the family's 1533-position model. The record is from RNAcentral.